CCUGGAUCGGGUUCUCUAGUCUCCCCCACCCCUUCUGCGCAAAAUAGCAGCAGCCCCCGGACUCCGCCCCUUAGGAACUUUCGCUUUCGCUGCAAGCAAAUUCCUGGGGCUUUUUAUUAUAUUCCUUUCCCUUAUAACGCACGUGUCUGCACAGCAGGCAACUCUUCCACAGCACCUCCGCUGGCGAGGAAGGGGGUGUCGGCACUGAACGAGGUCCCCCCCCCCACUUCCCAAACCCCAGAAUAACUACUGCCCUCCCGGAACACGGAGCGCUUCUCUACCUGCCCGCGUCGCAUCUCUGCAGGUUUUGCUGCUCCUAUUGCUGUUUUUCUCCCCAUUUGGGCCACUCAAGGGCUGCAGUUUUAAUUAUUCACCUAUCGCUACUUCUGACUUUUUCCAGGAUAUAAAACCACUGAACCCCUUCCCCUCUUUUUUAAGGGGAAACCUCAGCAUGCUGGCCACCCACCAAAUUACAUGGAGAUGAUUUGGUAUCAUGGAACUCCAGAUUCUUCUGUGGUUUUGCUGCUCCUAUUGCUGUUUUUCUCCCCAUUUGGGCCACUCAAGGGCUGCAGUUUUAAUUAUUCACCCAUCGCUACUUCUGACUUUUCCCAGGAUAUAAAACCACUGAAAGAAUAUUUGCUCCUGGACUACAAAGUAUCCAUGCCGUUCAAUCUGAAACCGGACAUAUUCUGCAGUGUAUUAUGGGACCUUCAUUUCAUCAAUGAAAACUUAAAGAAAUUAAUCAACGUGUCUGGGAAAAGACUGAAAAAAUUAUUUGAGAAGUUAUAUGAUCACACAAAAUUUGUUGAAGAUUGUAAUAUCGAAGUAGAUAAUAGUUCUACCAGUUUUGAAUUGAUAAAUAUCUCUCAGUUUAUAGAUGUCAUUCCUUCCCGCCUUCAGUUUCUAUCAAAGGAGAUAGAGAGGAUUACAUCAGAAGAAGAGCAUGUUGAUUUUAAGAACUGCACCAUUAUUCAGAGCCAAAUAGUGGUCCUCUUCGAGAGCAAUUUAAAAUUACCACAUCCCCGUGGUAUGGGAUCUACAUCACUCAGCAUCCUUGAGCCUGUUCUAUCCCACUCCUAGCCUUUCUCUUGAAGAACUAACCUGGAACAACCUGUCCGAGGGGCUGCUGUCAUGAGCCAUGAGCUUCAGUUGUGGCUCCCACCCCUCGAAUCCAAUAUGAGAAGGUUUAACUGCCAUCCAAAGACUUUUUAAGAACUCAGGAGUUUAUGAAUACAGUCACAUAUGAAUAAAAUGAGGAAUCACCACUUCCAGAUUUCUGUUACAGAGGAACUAGAAAAUCAUAAGGACAUGGAACCAACCAUCACAGCUGCUAGCAACAAAUGUUGUGAUUUAACAAAACUCUUUGUAAAAAAGGAAAGUAACGGAUGAUUUCAAGAGACAAAUUUUUUGUAUGUCUAACCACAGUUGACAAAAUAAAUAAAGUAUAAGUUUUAAC
Ahaetulla prasina is the source of this 1456-nucleotide RNA transcript. It is a transcript of the gene named fms related receptor tyrosine kinase 3 ligand, with no coding region annotated. NCBI's taxonomy places the organism in Eukaryota, Metazoa, Chordata, Lepidosauria, Squamata, Colubridae. The transcript has 9 exons. The record is from RefSeq and is a predicted model, not a curated record.